GACUACAGGGGUAUCUAAUCCUGUUUGCUCCCCACGCUUUCGUGCAUGAGCGUCAGUACAGGUCCAGGGGAUUGCCUUCGCCAUCGGUGUUCCUCCGCAUAUCUACGCAUUUCACUGCUACACGCGGAAUUCCAUCCCCCUCUACCGUACUCUAGCUAUACAGUCACAAAUGCAGGUCCCAGGUUGAGCCCGGGGAUUUCACAUCUGUCUUAUAUAACCGCCUGCGCACGCUUUACGCCCAGUAAUUCCGAUUAACGCUCGCACCCUACGUAUUACCGCGGCUGCUGGCACGUAGUUAGCCGGUGCUUAUUCUUACGGUACCGUCAUUAGCCCUCUUUAUUAGAAAGAGCCGUUUCGUUCCGUACAAAAGCAGUUUACAACCCGAAGGCCUUCAUCCUGCACGCGGCAUUGCUGGAUCAGGCUUGCGCCCAUUGUCCAAAAUUCCCCACUGCAGCCGCCCGUAGG
Molecule: ribosomal RNA, 465 nt
Filed under: uncultured Comamonadaceae bacterium
Lineage: Bacteria; Pseudomonadati; Pseudomonadota; Betaproteobacteria; Burkholderiales; Comamonadaceae
Description: partial 16S ribosomal RNA
Source: RNAcentral